GGUAUAACCUUAUUCAACAACACUUAAAAACAAAUUAUUUGUGAAGCAGUAGUGAUUUUUCAAAUGUUACUUUGUUCUUUAUUAGUGAGUAGCAGGCUUUAAAGUAUUAGUAUUUUUAUUUAUAGACUCCAAAGGUAACCCCAGAAACCUCGUUAAUAGUAAAGGUUUGAGGAGAAAACCAUCUUCAAAGAACUUGGAAUCAGUUUUAACCUGUAGCGACGAGAGAUUUGUGGAUUUUCUCAACAAAUGUCUCGAAUGGGAUCCUGACCUUCGUCUGACUCCUGACGAAGCUCUUAGACACCCAUGGUUAGCGGGACAUGAUAGUGGUAGAAGAACUUCCAAGUCAGUUCAGUCCCUAAUAAUCCGUGAAGUAGAAACAGAUCAACCUAGAUCAAUCUACAGGGUCUACAAAGGGUCAAAGGGUCAUCAUAGAAACAGAGACUCUCGCUCCUUCAACAAAGCUGCCUCAGAAGAAUCAUUGGUCUUAAGGUCCAUUGAGAGUAUAGAUACCAGCAUUGGUGAUCCAGACGACCUCCUAGUAGAUUCUGGAAUGUUCCUACCACCAAUAUUGUGACAAAAACCCUGAGGGUAGAUACACACUGGUAAACACUUCAUCAACCAAGGUCGCAUGACAGUUUGCCUGAUUGGUGUGUCCACCCUCAUACAACUUGUUUGAGUGUAGAAAUUGACUACCAUCAGUGGUAAUUGAAGCUUGGCAUGACUUUCAGCUCAACAUAUCCUUCAAGUGUGGCUUGUCUUACGUAAUAUGAGAAGUGAACCAUGCCUUCAUGUAUUCCAAAGUGAAACAUGUCCUAUAUGUGGGUCGUCAUAAUAUAUUAAAUGAGCCAAGCAUUCGUGUGCAACUAUAUGUAAGAUUAAAUUUAAUGGAGUUCUUAUAUAUGAUUUUUUAGCCUCUGAAGUAAAUCACGGAAACGUGUUCUCAAGUGAAUGUUAAUGCUUUCAGAAGAAACUUGUGUCAUUACGUGUUACUAUGAAUGAGCCAACUCUUCUGGUGUUUUUUGUUUUUAAAGUGAUAAAUGAAAUAUGUUGUAAUGUCAGCUUAUACAAUGCCUUCACAUUAAGUUUAGUAUUAAAGAAAAGAACACAAUUCUUCAUAUGAGACUUACUGUUAUAUCAGAAAAGGGGAAGUACUUUCACACGAGGACAAUUGCUAUGUUAGGAGUGAAACAUGUUUUAUGUCAGGCUGAUCAUGCUAUCACGUGUAAAACAUGCCUUAAUGUAAGUCAUAUCGUAAUGUGUGGAACGUUGUUGGUACCUUUAUGUAUGAUUUGUUAUUAUAUCAUAAGGGAAACAGGUCUUUCUGAGAAGCUUAUCUUUUGUCAGAAAUGAGAAAUUCUGUCAUUUCAGAGUUAUUGUUAUAUUAGACAGUAACAAUACUCUCGUGUAAGGCCUAUUGUUAUGUGAAAAGCGAAACACGAGGCUUAUUUUUACAUCGGGAUAGACUAGUAAAUAGUAGUGGAAUGAGGCUUAACAUUAUAUUAUAGAAAUAUGCUCUUAUGUGCCACGAUAUGCCAGAAGGGAGCCAUGCACAUUUGCUUAAAACACUAUGUAGAGACUAUGUAUACACCAUGUAGAUAUUGCACUGCAUUUACUACUGUUUACAAAAUAAAUAAGUUCAAUAAGAAAAGCAAAAAAAAGAAGAAGAAGAAGGAACGAAAUGACGUAUGCUGUUGUAGUUUAUUAAUCACGUGAUUAUUAAAGUGUUUAUCGUAACAUGAUAUAGAAUAACACCAGUUAAAUACUCUAAGAAGGGCAAUACAGAAGUUCAUGUACUGAUAUACAAUGCUCUGAAACGCAUAGCGCUCACAACCAAGUAAAAUCACGCGAUACGAUCAUAGCGAAGUUAGACUCGUAAUACAUGAAUUCACAUGAUGUCAUAGUUAAAAUGACUUGCUGUAUCAUAUACGUGAAUGACAAGUCAUGCAAUCAUGUCUUUGACCUCGGUAUUACUGUGAUGAUAUUAGAUGUAGAUGUAUAGAUUUAAGGAUCACAAGAUCCAACUGUUUAUACGCUCCCAAUGUAAACGUGUGAUGCAGAAAGUAACAGGAUCAUGUCUGCGGUCCUGUGUUAGUCUGGUAAUACUGUAAUUUUUAUACAUGUGAGUAGAGCAUGGCAAUGAGAUAAACAUGUCAUUAAUAUUGAUGCUGAGUCCAUUCCAAAAUAUCACGUGAUAAAACUAAAGGAUGUAUUUCGUGAAUACCGGCAAUGCAAAAAUUCACAUCACAUGUUAAAGCCACUGACUUGAACAUAAUAAACAGGUAUGCGAUAUUGUUGCGUAAGACUCGUAACGUAGGUAAACUAUUAUGUAGAAUCAUAGGAACUUUGUACAUGUACAGUUGCCCGACGAAGGCUCUGGUAAAAGGGUCGAAAGCUUGCAAAUAAAAGUAUUUUAACGUGUACAGUUAUACGAUAUUGUUUAACGGACUCCUGGUUAUGUGAAUUACUUCCCAUACAGAUUAAUAGUGUAAGUACAAAGGAAUACAGAUAGUAACGUCACGGUUAAGACCGUUUACAUAGUAGAAAUAUAGGCAUAUAGUUAAUUUAUCUUAAGGAUAUAUAUAUAUUCCAAACAACACUCAGUGCCUGCUCACCCCCCCC
This is a long non-coding RNA of Limulus polyphemus (Atlantic horseshoe crab), 2619 nucleotides long. RefSeq lists it as uncharacterized. NCBI's taxonomy places the organism in Eukaryota, Metazoa, Arthropoda, Merostomata, Xiphosura, Limulidae. The transcript has 4 exons. The record is from RefSeq and is a predicted model, not a curated record.